Molecule: long non-coding RNA, 1249 nt
Organism: Tupaia belangeri chinensis (Chinese tree shrew)
Lineage: Eukaryota; Metazoa; Chordata; Mammalia; Scandentia; Tupaiidae
Exons: 3
Source: RefSeq, a predicted model, not a curated record
GCUGUUUCGAUGGACGGUGAGAUGAGAGCACAGAUGGAGAGAGGUUCGCUGUUGGAGUUUGCUGCUGGCUGGGGUUAGGCCACAAGCCCCUGAGGGCAGACGGGACGGCUGGCAGCCUGGGCCUGUCCACGCCUCCCUCUCCAGCCUCCAUCACACCGUCACUGCAGUGGGAAGUCGGGCCGGAGCAGCCUCUGAAGAGAAACGGCCCGUCUAUCCAGCAAGCUCCCAGGGACAGCUGUGGGCUCAGUCCUUCUGCCCAGCUAUUUUGUCUGGAAGCAGCAUCUACGUGUUUAAUUAUGCAAUUAAAGUAAUUUUCCUGGGCCAGACAAAUAUUUGCAGCAUAUUUUGCUGCAAAUUGCUCCGCCUGGAGAGGAGUUUUGCCAGUCUGGCACACUCACGCUUACAUGGCCAUCACUGGGGGCUCACAGCCAUAAAGGGGUUGCAGACUGAGCACCCCAGGAACAAGCUUCAAUGCGGACGCUGGCAGGUGUCGUCAACAAGGCGAAUGUGAGCUUGGCCCUGCGACCAAUGCUGCUGUGGACUAAAUGCUGCCCAAUGCUCCUCCAUGCUCCUCAAUCCCACUCCACGGCACUGAGAAGCCAGGUCCCGGACGGCAGAGCCAUGUGAGACAGACCAGCUCAGCGGGCAGCGUCUCACACCCAGGCACAUCCUCUGCUCACACUGCCGCAGAAGGUGCCUGUCCGUCUGGAGGACUGAACUGGAUGUGGCUCCUUAGAGGGGAGGAAAACUCUGGCUAUUUCCCAGCCCUGAGGGACAUUCCUAGCCUCAGUUUCCCCAUAUGUAAACUGGGAGUGGCCUCGACUUUACCCUCCACAGGGAGCUGAGGGGGACGGCUGUGAAGGGGGAACCCUGGGCUGCCGUGAUGAGCGCGAGAGCCAGCGCUGAGGGCUGACCGCACAGCUGGGCCGUCAGGUGCGCACCCCCUGGAGAGUGCAUCUCCGCAGAAUCGUGUGAGCAGGAAGCUCAUGGCAGCGUGCACUGCACUAAACCCCCAGUGAGCACCCAGUUGCAGGAGAGGCUGGGCAAGGUGCAAGGCCGGGCAAGGCCCUCCACCACCCACUUCUCAGAGCAGCCCACUGUGCUGGGGCGUCUCAGGUACAGAAGGGGCUGAUUCAUGCUGCCAGAGAUGGUCCCUUUGGAGAGCCUUCUGGGAGUCACUUUCUCCCCACCCUCUUCCCUGGGGAGGGCAGUAGAGAAAACUAUUGCUUAAAAAAAAAAAAAGUAAACG